RNAcentral lists this ribosomal RNA (468 nucleotides) under uncultured bacterium. Its description in RNAcentral is "partial 16S ribosomal RNA". It matches the Rfam family "Bacterial small subunit ribosomal RNA", at positions 28 to 507 of the family's 1533-position model. The record is from RNAcentral.
GACGAACGCUGGCGGCGUGCUUAACACAUGCAAGUCGAACGGAAAGGCCCUGCUUUUGUGGGGUGCUCGAGUGGCGAACGGGUGAGUAACACGUGAGUAACCUGCCCUUGACUUUGGGAUAACUUCAGGAAACUGGGGCUAAUACCGGAUAGGAGCUCCUGCUGCAUGGUGGGGGUUGGAAAGUUUCGGCGGUUGGGGAUGGACUCGCGGCUUAUCAGCUUGGUGGUGGGGUAGUGGCUUACCAAGGCCUUGACGGGUAGCCGGCCUGAGAGGGUGACCGGCCACAUUGGGACUGAGAUACGGCCCAGACUCCUACGGGAGGCAGCAGUGGGGAAUAUUGCACAAUGGGCGGAAGCCUGAUGCAGCGACGCCGCGUGCGGGAUGACGGCCUUCGGGUUGUAAACCGCUUUCACCUGUGACGAAGCGUGAGUGACGGUAAUGGGUGAAGAAGCACCGGCUAACUACGUG